Acipenser ruthenus (sterlet) is the source of this 2777-nucleotide RNA transcript. RefSeq lists it as uncharacterized. The transcript is spliced from 7 exons. Lineage: Eukaryota; Metazoa; Chordata; Actinopteri; Acipenseriformes; Acipenseridae. The record is from RefSeq and is a predicted model, not a curated record.
AUCAAACGAGCAAGAUCGGCUCAAUGGCCUCCUCUUGUUUGUAAUCUUUCUUGUAUUCUUAUGUUCUUACUCUGUACUUUUCUACAACUGUACUUCUCCCACGCUGUCGCUGUAUGAACUGCCUUGCUUUUGUUUGUGUCUGCUGGUGCUUGUAGCUCCGCCCCUCCUCCUUGUCUCAGAACGGCACCGAAUUUGAAUUAGCAGCUCUGAGCUUCAGCUUGUUAUCGGAAAAAGACACUCAGCUGUUAGAAUUUAACCUGCAGUAAUUUCCCAAUUUACUGUGUUUUCUGAUUAAAGCAAUUAAAGAUGUAAUUUCUCCUUACUGCUUCUAACUUCUCUGUACUUUUCCACGACUCUACUUCUCCCACGCUGUCGCUCCUCACUGUCGUUGUAUGAACUCCCUUGCUUUUGUUUGUGUCGCGGUAGUCGUCGAUAGCACUCUGGCUAUAUUUUUCUACUUUUGUUCUAAGAGCAUCGAGUAAUUGUUGAUGCUUUGCAGAUUCCUGUGCCCUGAAAUUUGUUGAACUUCUGUCAGAGGUAUGUCUGCAUCUACAAACUUCUGAAUUGAUGUUUUUCUUGUACAAUGGUUAGCGUUGCAUUUUGUUUCCCACAAGCCUGCAUCAGUUUUUAUGAGUUUCAUUAGUGAUCUUAUCUUUGUUUUCUCCUACUGUCAUUGCCCUAUACCACAGCGUUACGCCUAGUUUGCCAUUUAUAUUAGGUGCAAUAUUUCCUUAAUGCAGUUAAAAAAAGUCCUUCCAAAAGAAAGGCUGUACUCCAUAAAACUUGCCUUUUCUGCCUCCUGCUGACCAAGGUUAAGAAAAUAAGGAAUAAUGCAGUGGCAAUAUCAGAAGAAACAAAAAGGCUUGUGAAACAGUUUUUUGAAAGUGUUGAUAUUUCAAGGCAGGCUCCAGGGAUUAAAGAUGUAGUUACAGAGAAAGAGGGUGGAAACUGCAGAAAUAUCACCUCUCCAUGUCGAUGCUGAAAACCUAUCACUGCUUCAAAGAGGAUGACUAUAGGGAUCAGAACUCACUUUUAAAGAAGUAGAAAGCCUACGCAGCCACAGCUAUCACCUGUGUGUUUCAAUGUCGGGGAUGCUAGUGGAAAAGAUGGCAAAUUACCUCUUGAAUGCCCAGAUUAUCACCAGGUUCGAGUGUGAUGUCAUCAAAUCGAAACCUGUGAAACUGGAGAAGGCCUCAGAGCUUCUUUCCACCAUAAUACGUAAAGGGCAGAGAGCUUGUUUGAUCUUUUACCAAACCCUGGAAACAUGCGACCCCUUCCUAUGUGAAAGAAUAACAGGAAAAACAGCAAGAACAGUACAUUCUGUGCCAGUAAUGACUCAGACAAACUCAUUUCCCCAGAUUGUCCAGAAGGAAACUAACACAGAAGUAUUUUCACAAAAGAGUGGACAUAGCUCAUCCCCUUCAAAUUGUACCAUUGCCAUUUAUAAUUCUAAGCUAAGCGGUUGCAUAUUUGGUAGCAACAACACCUUGUGUAUUAUGAGAGGAGGAACCCAUGAAGAUCCUGAAGAGUACAGCAAUGCUUAUAACAAUUAUGGAAAUAAACCAAAACGAUUUUGCAUGGAUUUCAACUCUGAGAUACAACAGUCACUACCAGUACAAAAACCUGCUGUGCCACUACUUACCAGGAGCAUAGAAAUAGUCACCUCAGACGUGGAGUAUGUGACUGCUGGCAAUAACAAUGUACUGAAAGUGGAAGUGGCAGAGGAUCAAGAAAGUGAAGAAGAGGAACCUGGAAGAGGAGACUGAAAAUUGACAAGCAUUUCUGGUGCUUUAAGAUCUCUGUGGUAAUGCAUUCAAAAGUUGUCUGAUUUGAGCUUGUUUGAUGGUCAUCUCAAGAGCUGCAAUAUGGAUGGUUAAAUCACUUUGUGAAUGCUUCAUCAAUUAAUCUCAAAUGACAUGGAUACAUUCAGCUACUGUUCUAUGUAGCACACUAACCCAGUAGAAGAAGAUCAAAGAACAGAGUUGUGUACCAAACAUUAAGAAAAUUCAAAGUUCACUGUCUCAAUACAGCAGCAACAUAAACCUCAUUAUCAAAAGCCAAUGUUAUACACUGUUUAAAUUACUCACUUUGUGACCGCUUUGGUCUGUUUUUUGCUGUACUGUGAAUGCAUCUAUCGGUUCCACACACAGGCACGUGGUGAGCAGCGUCCUCAGUGUCGGUGUCUCUCAUUGCAUCUAUCCCUGAGUCGGUUCCAUGCACAGGCACGUGGUGAGCAGCGUCCCCAUUGUCGGUGUCACUCAGUGCAUCUAUCCCUGAGUCGGUUCCACGAACAGGCACGUGGUGAGCAGCGUCAUACUCAGCUUAAGCCGCGGACAUGACAGACCAGAGUGGUCAGAGCUGGUGCUUGCUACUAUUUUUUUGUAUUGGCUAUUCUGGGCAGUUUCACUCAUGCACAGGAUCCUGGACAUUAAUUUUGGUAACUGCUGUUAAGAGGCAUGAAAAGUACACUUGUCUGAUAAUAUAACAAAAACAGAGAACCAACAAAAUACUGCAGUUUAUUUCAUAUAAUAUGUAUUUGUUUCAUACUGUAUUGUCCUCUAAUGUUUACUUGAAAUGUGUCCUGCAUACAAUAACAAUACAUGACAAACUUGUUAAGAUAAAAAUAAAUCAUAAUUACAAAAUAAAGCACCCUUCAACAAUUUCACCUCCAAUACUAGUAUCAUAUUCAAGCGCACGUUUUCACUGCAGAAUUACUCACCCUGAUAACUACUUACCACUGUAUCUAACUUUUAACAAAUAAAUACAGUUACCCUUAA